Molecule: transfer RNA, 87 nt
Filed under: Deltaproteobacteria bacterium
Lineage: Bacteria; Pseudomonadati; Myxococcota; Myxococcia
Description: tRNA-Leu
Rfam family: tRNA
About the family: Transfer RNA (tRNA) molecules are approximately 80 nucleotides in length. Their secondary structure includes four short double-helical elements and three loops (D, anti-codon, and T loops).
Source: RNAcentral
GCCGGGGUGGUGGAAUUGGUAGACACGCUAGAUUCAGGAUCUAGUGCUCGCAAGGGCAUGGGAGUUCGAGUCUCCCCUUCGGCACCA